UAAACAUACUAACCAUAAAAGAGGGACGAAAGAUACCAAAGGGACAGUCAAACUCAUAAAUCUAAAACAAACUGACAACGCCAUGGCUAAAAAUGAAAAAGACAAACAGAAAAACAAUAGUACACAUGACACAACAUAGAAAAAUAAAGAAUAAACAACACGAACCCCAUCAAAAACUAGGGGUGAUCUCAGGUGCUCCGGAAGGGUAAGCAGAUCCUGCUCCACAUGUGGCACCCGUCGUGUUGCUUAUGUGAUUUCAAAUCCGGU
RNAcentral lists this long non-coding RNA (267 nucleotides) under Mytilus galloprovincialis (Mediterranean mussel). Lineage: Eukaryota; Metazoa; Mollusca; Bivalvia; Mytilida; Mytilidae. The record is from RNAcentral.